AUAUAACCCAUCACUUCAACUGGAAAGCAAAUGUAUCCUACUAUUAGAGUUUAUCUCGAAAUGCUUUGGGAAAUCUCAGGGGGCUGGAGGAACCCUCAGCUCAAGCCAUUUGUGGGAUGUGUUGGUCCGGCAUAGACUCCAGCCAAAAGACCAAAUAUUGCCUUUUGUUGUUUCCUGGAGGGAAGGAUAUGGACAACAAUGAUCUGGCCGUGGGGAAGAUUCAAGGGAAUAAAAAUGAAUCAUCACCAGCCACCAGGAAGCACCAGGAGCUCUCUAAAUGGAAUGGAGGCCUCCCAUACCUUGGGCAUUGAUAAACCUUGGCUGUUGCUUCAAAUAUAAAUGAUUCUAGAACAUCAGAAUAACUAGUAACAGUAAGAUUACUCAAAUAAGCAAAUAAAAUCAAAGAAGCUCCUGGUUCCUGGCACACAGCUCCUAACACCAUUGGAAUCUCUGGAGUGAAAAGAGUGUCUUUUGUAAGUGAAUGAGAUGACUGAAGGUCGGGGGCCUGUAGAUAGCCCCUUCUCCUAUACCUCGACCUAUACAUCUCUUCCAUGUUUCUUUCAUCUGUAUGCUUUGUAACAUUCUUUAUAAUAAACAAGUAAGUGUAAGUG
RNAcentral lists this long non-coding RNA (611 nucleotides) under Homo sapiens (human). Its description in RNAcentral is "long independently transcribed non-coding RNA 2319 (LINC02319)". Lineage: Eukaryota; Metazoa; Chordata; Mammalia; Primates; Hominidae. The record is from RNAcentral.